GGUAAAAUGGCUGAGUAAGCAUUAGACUGUAAAUCUAAAGACAGAGGGAAAUCCUCUUUUUGCC
RNAcentral lists this transfer RNA (64 nucleotides) under Alouatta guariba (howler monkey). Its description in RNAcentral is "tRNA-Tyr". It matches the Rfam family "tRNA". Rfam says of the family: Transfer RNA (tRNA) molecules are approximately 80 nucleotides in length. Their secondary structure includes four short double-helical elements and three loops (D, anti-codon, and T loops). The record is from RNAcentral. Lineage: Eukaryota; Metazoa; Chordata; Mammalia; Primates; Atelidae. RNAcentral also lists the same sequence under 1 other name.